AGAACUUUAGUAUAUUACACAUUACAUGAUUCUGUCAGAAUCAAAACAUAGAUACUCUCUAUAAGUUCUA
Molecule: transfer RNA, 70 nt
Filed under: Phrynocephalus albolineatus
Lineage: Eukaryota; Metazoa; Chordata; Lepidosauria; Squamata; Agamidae
Also listed under: 1 other name
Description: tRNA-Asp
Source: RNAcentral